This 783-nucleotide ribosomal RNA is filed under the name uncultured Neocallimastigales. RNAcentral's name for it is "partial large subunit ribosomal RNA". It matches the Rfam family "Eukaryotic large subunit ribosomal RNA", at positions 19 to 643 of the family's 3401-position model. The record is from RNAcentral. Lineage: Eukaryota; Fungi; Neocallimastigomycota; Neocallimastigomycetes; Neocallimastigales.
CGAGCACGCGCGUGUGGCAUAUCAAUAAGCGGAGGAAAAGAAACUAACAAGGAUUCCCCUAGUAACGGCGAGUGAAGCGGGAAGAGCUCAAAUUUGAAAUCUUAAAGGGUUUCCCUUUACGAAUUGUAGUUAAAAGAAGUGUUUUCUGUUGAGGUUUUGGUAAAAGUUCUUUGGAAUAGGACAUCAUAGAGGGUGAGAAUCCCGUAUUUGACCAUUAUUUUCAGCUUUGUGAUACACUUUCAAAGAGUCGGAUUGUUUGGGAAUGCAGUCCAAAAUGGGUGGUAAAUUUCAUCUAAAGCUAAAUAUUGGCGAGAGACCGAUAGCGAACAAGUACCGUGAGGGAAAGAUGAAAAGAACUUUGAAAAGAGAGUUAAACAGUACGUGAAAUUGUCAAAAGGGAAGCGUUUGACACCAGUGUUGUUUUUCUGAAAAUCAAUUAAAGAACUGUUUAUGCAAAGUUGUAUUAGACUUUAUCAGCUUAACUGCCUUUAGUUUCGUAGCUUUUCUUUAAUGCACUUUUCAGUUAACAAGUCAACAUCAAUUUCUUUUGUUGUAAAAAAGUCAUUGAGGAAGGUGGCUUUGAGCUUCGUAUAAGUGUUUAUAGCCUUUUGCUUCUGCAGUCGGAGAGAUUGAGGUCUGCAGCGUAGAUCCUUCGGGGUUAAUAGCAUUUGUGCUAAGCUAUAAGUUCUUUAUAGACAACUUGUUGACUAUAGUCUAGUCCUGUAGCUUACUCGCUUAUGCUAUUUUACCUACGCUUAGGAUGUUGAAGAUGUAGCACAUCAU